CUGCCGACUCCAGGACCCAAGCCCACAAUGCAGGUGAAUUUCCUUUGUUCCUAGAUGCCCUGCCUGGACUUCCUCUCCUCUAGGUUUGCAUUGCUGGGGGCGGUGGUGGGGCGGGGAGGGGGGGUGCCUGCAGGUGUCAAGGCUGUGUUGGCUCCACAUUCAACCGAACAGAGAUCAGUGCCCCCAUGUCAUGACCUCCCAGCUCCUCCCACUUUCGACAAGCUGAGGAUGCUCUUGGAAGAGCAGCCCAGCACUCCUGUGAGGGUGACGUAGUGUGUGAGACGGUGGAAGUGACAUUGCUAAUGAGGGAAAUCAACUGCUCCAACCAGAGGUGGAAUCUAAGGGAGGAAACGACAGGGAGGCCCGUAGAUAUAUGGUCUUGACCAAAGCCCCGGCAGAAAUCAGUCUCGGGCUAGAAAAUUGAGCUGUGAUUAUUACAAAGAGUCAGAGUGAUGGCUUCCAUCACGAUGCUUCAGGAACUCCAUAAAGAGCAGCCCAAACAAUUUCGACGUUAAGUGUUUGAGAGAGAGAAGGAUGGUUUGUAAAAGGAGGAGCUUGUUACUCCUCGAAAAGCUACUAUGAAGAUGUCAAGCGUAUGGAAAUAACAGAUGGGCAAGGCGGGCUGAGAUCAUUACUCUGAACUCUAAGUGCGGUUAUUGACAAGCACAGCCCACAUGGCUGGGCAAAUAGAUGUGCCUGGGAGUAGGAGGGAGGUACAUAAAGAAAGAAAAGCUGAAACCAGAUGAUUUCAAAACAUCAGGGGGUGGAGAGAAAUAGCAUUAGGAGGAGGCAUUUUUCAAAGCAAAAUAAGGGGGGGGGGAGGUUUGGGUGAGAAUGUGAGCAAGGAAGAUCCCAUAGAAAGAUAAUUAACUGACUACUUUGUAUUAAAUUACAGGUAACAUAGUAGUUCUUGAUGUUGGAGGGUUAACUUGGAAUAUCUUAUGAAAGCUGUGGCCUCUUUUUCUUAAAAAAAAAAAAAACCAAAACCCUCAGUCGUGUACGCUCUAUUUUUGGUAAACAGUAUGAGGAAUGUCAGUGGACUUCCCAGUGGCAGAGAAGAGCAGUUUCUUCUCUGAUGGGAAGAGACAUAGAGAUAACGAAAGCGCAGAUCCCAGACUUUUCACCUAGCAGAUUUCUAGGGAUGCCAUGGAAACGGGUCCUUCCUAUGGAUACAAUGUCUCAGCCCCAAACUGUGUUGUAUCCCUUCCUGGUGCUGGUAGGGUUAAAGGCUUCUUUGAAUUGUUGCUUGAGCAUUUGACUAAAAUCAGGCUGAGUGCCCUCUGUAGUUCUUGUCCUUCCUCUGUGAAUCAGUGGGGGUGCUGUUAGAAUGGGGGGGCAUUUUUUUCUUGGGACAAGACAGCCCCACAAAUUACAUGUCUUAUAUCUUAGCCUCUAAGCAUUAACCACCAGUAGGAACGCCUUCCUGGCCACGGUGGCCACCUCCCACCCCCUUUAAAAUGCCAUUUAAGAGCCUGUAGGAUAUGUCAUUAGAACAGCUGUUCCAGAGACUGGUGUUUAGAGAUGAACAAUCACUGGCUGGAAGGUAUGGAGUCUUAUUACAUUUAUCCAUACAGCUUCUCAUAGAAGACUGAUGCUAAAAUGAGUCUUCCCAGUUGAGGCAUUUUCUGGCAAGUUUAGGCAUAGUCUCUGUAAAGUAAGGUAAGAAAAUCUACAUGAAGGAUCUAGAAGAAACGAUGUUGAGUGUAUUAACCUUGACUUAAGUGGCAGAACUGGGCUAGACUAGGUUCCUUUGCUCUUAGUACUCUUCCCAUUCUAUCUGCCCGUCCUUUGGUGCUGGGGACGGGGAAGUGAAGAAAUUAUAUUCAGGACUGCCUUCACCAAAAGGGCAGAUGGCCUUAUGAUUUGAAAGUUCUAUUUUGAGACCAGUUAAGCGGGAGGAAUUUCAGUUCAUUGCUCGUGUGUCCUUUACCAGCACUGGGAGGUCCCUGAGCAACGCUCAUGGUUAGCAACGUCUAGAAGAUGACACACCAUAUGCUGAAAGGUAGGCACUGAAGACCUUUGAUGGCAUUAGAAGAGGGUCAUACAGCCUCCCAAGAGGGCGAAGAGCAAGAACAAAUGUGAACUGGAGCUCAGAUGUCAGCCUGCUCCACAAGACAAGGGACACAGGGCAGCCUCAGAUGGGCAGAGGAUCAAGAUCAAAUGCUCUGAAACAGGAGCACACUGAUCCCCACAAUAAACAGGUGGACAGGGAACAGCCUCACUGAGAUGCGCCUUGGAGAUGAUGGCUGCUGGGGUUUUGGGUUCUCUUCUGCAAGUAGUUCCUAGCUUUGCCAGAAUAUAAAUAGACUAUAUCGAGACUUAGCGCUAGAAGGGACCUAAAAGGCUUGAUAGCUCAGUUUCAUUACUUUAUCAGGAAAAAAACCCAAAGUCCAGAGAAGUUAAUUAAUUUGCCUAAGGUGACAUAGGUAAGAGAGUUACAGAAUAGGAUGGGAAGUCAGAUCUCUUUCUCUCAAUUAUUCAUUUAUUCUGCAGACACUGAGCACUUUCUGUGCACUGUCCUUGAGCUUGAACCUAAUGGACUAUGGAGCUGCGUAGGGCGCACUGCUUGUUUUUCAGAGGUUCUCAAUCAACCAGGCAAAGAGGCCCAUGAAUAAAUCAUGAGAGGACAGAAUAGUACGAAUAACAUCAAAGCUUUUCCACAAUGCUAAAUGAUACAUAUAAAGUGCUGAGAGCCACUGGCUACUCGAUUAUAUUAAGUAGGCGGUGGAGGUCUUGUCCUGUGUGCUGGUCCCCAUCUACAUCGGCCCAUCCCUGAAGGAAUUCAGCUUUCAGCCUCGAUCCUUCCCACGUACGAACCAGUACUAACAUGGCAGUGGGCAUGUUAAGAGUUUAGGUCCAAAGCAGUUGGAGUGUGGAACUGUUUCUGUCAAUGUGGGCCCAGUGUCCUGUGCACCUGACUACCCACCUUUGGCAUGACUUAAAACGGCCCAAGUACAAAGGAAUCCAUGAAAAGGACAGACAGGAGGAGUUCCUGCUAUAGCGCAGUGGGUUAAGAAUCUGACUGCAGCGGCUCAGGUCACUUUGGAGGCUUGGGGUCCAUCCCUGGCCUGCAGCAGUGGGGAGAAGGAUCCAGGAUUGCUGCAGCUGCAGAGUAGGUCACAGUUGCGUCUUGGAUUCAGUCCCUGGCCCAGGAACUUUCACAUGCUGCAGGUGUGGCCAUUUGGGAGAGACAGGAGCGAGGGAGGACUCUCACCGUGCUCCUUGCAGGAAGGAUCCGCAGACUUUGUCUCGCAGCCUCUGCUUUCAGGCUUUGAGAUGGGCCUCUCUUUGUGUAUCUGCCUCACUCCCCUGCUCUUUUUGGCUUAUGUUUUUAGGCUUAUUUGUCAUCAUGCAUAUGAUCCAGUCAGGUCUGAGAUUACCUGGCUGAGGAGGUCCAGUGUCUCCUAUUGUUUAGUUUGCUUAUAGGUCCUGUGCUGAAGAGAUAGAGUGAGUCAGUUCAAACUCCCUCAAUUUGGAUCUGCUGACCACCCCUCUUCCACUCAGCUGUGGUCAGAGGAGUGUGGUCAACUCUUGCAGCCAAGAACCUGGGUCCCCCUCCAUCAUCAGUGGCUGUGAAUCAACCAUGCCCUAAAGUCUCAUGGUCCGGGGAGGGAAAUGAAACUCUAUACCGUAGCCUUCCUCUACACCUUCCAGCUUUGACGACGCGUCUGUCUUAAUUUUUCUGUCUUCACUCAAGCUCUCCAGUGUAAUGGAGUUCAGCUCCACUGACUGUUCGGUGUUAUCAGCCUGCUCAGUCUGCUAUAAUGGAAUACCACAGGCUAGGUGGCUCAAACACCAGAAAUUUAUUUUAUCCCAGUUCUGAAGGCGAGAAGUCCAAGAUUAAGGUGCCAGGUGGUUGGGUUUCUGGGGAGCUCUCUCUCCCUGGCUUGUGGAUGGCCACCUUCUCCCUGUGUCCUCACAUGGACCUUCCUGUCUUGGAGAGUGUGUGUUCUGGUUUCGCUUCCUCUUCUUCUAAGGGCACCAGGACUGUGGCCUUAGGGCCCCACCCUCAGGACCUGAUUUAAUCUUAGCUACCUCCUCUGAAACCCAACCUCCCAAUACAGUCACUCUGGGGGUAAGGCUUCAACAUGUGAGUUUUGGAGGAACACAGUUCAGUCUAUGACACCCAGCGGUCCUCGUCUACCUAGGAACCCUCCCUGUAGCUGGGUUCCUUGCUCCUGGGUUCCCCCUUUCUAUUCUGGGUCUUUGCUGCUAGCGGGGGUCACAAGAGCCAAGAUAAAACGUUGACCAGUACUAAAUCAGGCAGAAGUCAUUCAGGCUUUUAGGAGAACGGUCAUCUUUGGAAAUCAGUGACCAGAAGGAGUGAGAAGGGCUUUGGGGAGGAUAGUUCUGAUUCAUAACCUGAUGAGUGUUUUGAUUGUGAAAAUUCAUCAGCCUGUAUACUGAUGACAUGUGCAUUUUCUGUGUACAUCUGUUCCAGUUAUUCAGCGCUGUGUAACAAUUCAUUCCAACCCUGGGUAGGCUUCAAGCAACAACAUUCAUUUUUUUCAUGAGUCUACAGUCCAGGCAGGGCUUGGUGGGGGUAACUGGUCUCAGCCCCAUUUGGUGUCAGCUGAGGCAGCUGGAAGGUUGGACACUAGGAACAUCUGAGGCCUCACUCAUCCCUAUGUCUUGAAAUGGAUGGUGGUGGUCAGGUGAAACCUUACCUGGGACUAUCCCAUGGGGCCCCCUACAUGGUGGCUGGGUUCCCAGCAUGAGCACAGGAGUCAGGUAGAAGCCAUACUGCCUUUUAUCACCGAGUCCUUGAGGAGCAGGGUCACUCACCCUACAUUUUGUUCAUCACGUCAGCCACACAGGCUCAUCCAAUUUCCAGGUGAGGAGAAAUAUAUGCCAUUUCCAGGGGGGGAACAGCAACAUUCUGCAACAGAAUUUGGGACCAACUAUAUUGUUGUGGCAAAUAUCUGAAAAAAUCCACUCUGCUACAAUGUUAUACUUUAAUAAAAAGUGGGGGGGAAAAAACCUUCGGUACAAUAAACCU
This 4999-nucleotide long non-coding RNA is filed under the name Sus scrofa (pig). Its description in RNAcentral is "lncRNA (ENSSSCG00000054218.1)". Lineage: Eukaryota; Metazoa; Chordata; Mammalia; Artiodactyla; Suidae. The record is from RNAcentral.